RNAcentral lists this ribosomal RNA (3189 nucleotides) under Durio zibethinus. RNAcentral describes it as "eukaryotic LSU rRNA". It matches the Rfam family "Eukaryotic large subunit ribosomal RNA". The record is from RNAcentral. Lineage: Eukaryota; Viridiplantae; Streptophyta; Magnoliopsida; Malvales; Malvaceae.
CACUCAGUUAAUGCUUGCAUCAUGACCUUAGAUUAGGCAGAAUUACACUUUAAGUUUAAGCAUAUCUAUAAGCAGAGGAAAAGAAACUUACCAGGAUUCCUCUAGUAAUGGUGAACCCUUGGAAAGCAUCUUCAAUAGUGGAUUGGGCUCAAGUCCCCUGGAAAAUGGCACUAAAGAGGGUGAGAGCUUUAUUGUGCCUAGACCAUGUCACACCACGAUGUGCUAUCUAUGAGGUGGGUUGUUUGGGAAUGGGGCCCUAAUCAGGUGGUAAAUUCUAUCUAAGUUUGAAUAAUGGCAAAAGACCAAUAACAAACAAGUGUCAUGAGGGAAAAAUGAAAAGAACUUCGAAAAGAGAGUCAAAGAGUGCUUGAAAUUGUCAGGAGGAAAGUGGUUGAGGGCCAACGAUGAGCCUCAAUCGGAUGUGGAAUGGUGAGAGUCUGUCUAACGAUCGACUCAAGGUAUGGACCAAUGUAGGUCACGACCAUGACCCAUGCCCAGGCUUUCAAUAUACCCACAGAGAUAUCAUCACCAUGAUCAUGGAAUACAGCAUAUGCCAUCUUGGCAUACCUUGACAUCGACAUCUCUCGAUUUCUGCCUAUGAGCUCUUUAUCUGACUUAUCUUGAAACACGGACUAAGGAGUCUAACAUGUGUGUGCGAGUCAGUAGGUUAGAAAACUUGUAAAGCAUAAGGAAGCUAAUUGGUAGUAUCCCUCGUGCGUGCAUUAUCGACCAACCUUGAUCUUUUAAGAAGGUUUUGAGUGUGGGCAUGGCUGUCAAGACCCAAAAGAUGGUGAACUGUGCCUGAGCAUGGUAAAGCUAGAGGAAACUCUAGUGACGGCUCGUGGUGAUACUGAUGUGCAAAUCAUCCAUCCGACUUAGGUAUAAAGGCAAAAGACUAAUCAAACCAUCUAGUAGCUGGUUCCCUCUAACAUUUCCCUUAAGAUAGCUAGAGCCUUUAGCAAGUUCUAUCAGGUAAAGCCAAUGAUUAGAAGCAUCAGGGGCACAACACCUUCAACCAAUUCUUAAACUUUAAAUAGGUAGGAUGGCAUGGCUACUUUAUUGAGUCGUGCCAUAAAAUCGAGAGCACCAAGUGGGCCAAUUUUGGUAAUCAAAACUGGUGAUACAUGAAGUGAAAGCUAGGUUAUAGUGCCUAACUACAUGCUAAUGUAGAACCCACAAAGGGUGUUGGUUGAUUAAGAUACUAGAAUGGUGCUCAUAGAAGUUAAAAUCUACUAAAGAGUGAGUAACAACUCACCUACCAAAUCAACUAGUCUUGAAAAUGGAUGGCAUUUAACAACACAACCUAUAUCUAAUUGUCAAGGCAAAGGGGUAGCCCUGAUGAGUAAGAGGGUAAGGUGAUCAUCGUAAAACUCGAGGCACGAGCCCAAGUGGAGCAACUAUUAGUGCAGAUCUUGGUGGUAGUAGCAAAUAUUCAAAUGAGAACUUUAGAGGUUAAAUAAGAGAAAGGUUCCAUGUGAACGACACUUGCACAUGGGUUUGUCAAUCCUAAAAGACCAAAGAAGCCCAUCUGAUAGUGCAUCCAGCGUGAGCUUUGAAAGGGAAUCAAGUUAAAAUUCUUGAAUGGGGACACGAUAGCUAAUGGCAAUAUUAGGGAGUCUGAAGAUGUUUGGGUAGAAUUAUCUUUUAUGUUUAAUGGCCUGCCACCCUAAAAAAGACUCAGCCAGAGGUAGGGUCUAGCAGUAAGAAGAGCAUCGCACGUCGUAUGGUGUCUGGUGCACCCUCGGUGGCCUUUGAAAGUUUGAAGGUGCAAAUGCCAUUCGUGCUUGGUCAUACUCAUAACUACAUCAAGUUUCCAAGGUGAAUAGCCUUUAGUUAAUGGAACAAUGUAGGCAAGGGAAGUUGGCAAAAUGGAUUCGUAACCUCAAGAAAAAGAUUGGCUCUAAAGGCUGGGCAUGGGGGUCCUAGUCUUGAACCCAUAGGCUAUUGAUGCACUGCUCAACCUAUUCUUACUAUGAGAGCGGGUUGCCGUGUGCUGGCCUUGGGAUAGAUUAGGAAUGGCUCCCUCAGAAGCCUUCUUUAGGUGACGAACAAUCGACUCAUAACUAGUAUGGACAAGGGGAAUCUAAUUAUUUAAUUAAAACAAAGAUUACGAUGGUCCUUAUGGAUGCUUGGUCAAAGUGAUUUUUGCCCAGUGCUUUGAAUGUCAAAGUGAAGAAAUUCAACCAAUUACGAGUAAAUGGUAAGAGUAACUAUGGCUCUUUUAAGGUAGCUAAAUGCCUCAUCAUCAAAUUAGUGACAGGCAUGAAUAGAUUAAUAUGAUUCCUAUUGUCCAUGUCUGUUAUCCGGUGAAACCAUAGCCAAGGGAACAAGCUUGGCAGAAUCAAUAAGGAAAGAAGACCUUGUUGAGCUUGACUCUAGUCUGACUUUGUGAAAUGACUUGAAAGGUGUAUGAAAAAUGGGAGCCCUCAGGUGAAAUUGAAAUAGCAUUACUUUUAACAUUAUUUUCCUUAUUCCAUGAAUCAAAGGCAAGGCAUGACCCCUUAUUUUAGACCCAAGGCCAGCCUUAGUCGAUUCCAUGUAGAAGACAUUGUUAGGUAGGGAGUUUGGCUGGGAAGGCACAUCUGUUAAAAAGUAUUAUAAGUGUCCUAAGAUGAGCUCCAUAAGAAUACAAAUCUCAUGUGGAAUAAAAAGGUAAAAGCUUGUUUGAUUAUGAUUUCUAGUACAAAUAUGAACCAUGACAGCGUGGCCUAUUAAUCCUUUAGAGCUUCAAAAUUUAAAGCUAUAGGUGUCAAAAAAGUUACCAUAGGGAUAACUGGCUAGUGGUAGCCAACAUUCAUAGCAUUCAUAACCAAGUGUUGGAUUGUUCCCCCACCAAUAGGGAAUGUGAGCUGGGUUUAAACCAUUGCGAGACAGGUUAGUUUUACCCAGCUAAUGGUAGUGUCACAAUAGUAAUUUAACAUAGUACAAGAGGAAUCGUUGAUUUGCAUUAUUGGUCAUUGUACUUGGUUGAAAAGCUAGUGGAGCGAUGCUACUGUGCACAGGGUUAUGACUGAAUGCAUCUAAGUUAGAAUCUAAGCUAGAAGUAAUGCACGUGCCCACCAGCCAAUUGCCAACCCAUAGUAGAGGCCCAUGGGCCCCAAAGGCACAUGUUGUAGGUAUAGCCAAAGUGGUGGACAAGCUAUGCAGACCUCUUUAGAGCUUAAUUCCCACAAAGCAGUAGGUAGAAUC